CUGCACGCGCGCUACACUGGCGAAAUCAGCGUGCUUAUCCUUUCUCGAAAGGGAUUGGUAAACCAUUGAAAAUUUGCCGUGAUUGGGAUCGGAAAUUGCAAUUAUUUUCCGUGAACGAGGAAUUCCAAGUAAGUGCGAGUCAUCAACUCGCGUUGAUUCACGU
Molecule: ribosomal RNA, 163 nt
Filed under: uncultured eukaryote
Lineage: Eukaryota
Description: partial 18S rRNA
Rfam family: Eukaryotic small subunit ribosomal RNA
Source: RNAcentral